UUGAACGCUGGCGGCAGGCCUAACACAUGCAAGUCUACGAGAAAGUUUCUUUAGGGAAGCAAGUAAAGUGGCGCACGGGUGAGUAACACGUAAGUAAUCUACCUCUGGAUUUGGAAUAACCCCGAGAAAUCGGGGCUAAUACCAAAUGAUGCAGCGGCACCACAUGGUGAUGUUGUUAAAGUCUAUAUGGCGUCUAGAGAUGAACUUGCGUCUGAUUAGCUUGUUGGUAAGGUUAUGGCUUACCAAGGCAACGAUCAGUAGCUGGUCUGAGAGGAUGAUCAGCCACACUGGAACUGAGACACGGUCCAGACUCCUACGGGAAGGCAGCAGUGAGGAAUAUUGGGCAAUGCCCGAAAGGGUGACCCAGCAACGCCGCGUGGAGGAUGAAUGUCGUAAGAUUGUAAACUCCUGUUAGAGGGGAAGAACAAUCCCGAUCGACUCGGGACAUGACUGUACCCUCAGAGAAAGCUCCGGCUAACUACGUG
Molecule: ribosomal RNA, 485 nt
Filed under: uncultured bacterium
Lineage: Bacteria
Description: bacterial SSU rRNA
Rfam family: Bacterial small subunit ribosomal RNA
Source: RNAcentral